UUGCCCACUGAUUUAUUUAAAGGGCCGCGGUAAUUUGACCGUGCGAAGGUAGCAUAGUCAGUAGUCUUUUAAUUGAAGGCUUGAAUGAAUGGUUGGACGAGGGAUAAGCUGUCUCCUUUAUGAAUUUUGAAUUUAACUUUUAAGUGAAAAGGCUUAAAUUAUUUAGUGGGACGAUAAGACCCUAUAAAACUUGAUAUAUGCUGAGUUUAAUUUAUGAUAAUAAGUGAAAAGUAGUUAUACUUGGUUUAUAUUUCGUUGGGGAGAUGUAGAUAUAAAUUGUAACUGUCUAUUUAAUUUAAUAAUGUUAAUUAGUGUGUGAUCCCUCUUUGGGGAUUAAAAGAAUAAGUUACUUUAGGGAUAACAGCGUGAUUUUCUUUGAGAGUUCUUAUCGACAAGAGUAGUUGCGACCUCGAUGUUGAAUUAAAAUUUCAGCUAGGUGUAGCCGUUUAGCUGGUGGGUCUGUUCGACCUUUAAAAUUUUACGUGAUCUGAGUUCAGACCGGACGCCA
RNAcentral lists this ribosomal RNA (508 nucleotides) under Macrobrachium latimanus. RNAcentral's name for it is "partial 16S ribosomal RNA". It matches the Rfam family "Bacterial large subunit ribosomal RNA", at positions 1859 to 2624 of the family's 2925-position model. The record is from RNAcentral. Lineage: Eukaryota; Metazoa; Arthropoda; Malacostraca; Decapoda; Palaemonidae.